ACGCUCGACACCUACGGGGGGCAGCAGUCGGGAAUAUUGCGCAAUGGAGGAAACUCUGACGCAGUGACGCCGCGUAUAGGAAGAAGGUUUUUCGGAUUGUAAACUAUUGUCGUUAGGGAAGAGAAAGGACAGUACCUAAGGAGGAAGCUCCGGCUAACUACGUGCNGNCGCGAGUAUNGAGGCGGNGNGAGAGC
RNAcentral lists this ribosomal RNA (194 nucleotides) under uncultured bacterium. RNAcentral describes it as "partial 16S ribosomal RNA". It matches the Rfam family "Bacterial small subunit ribosomal RNA", at positions 328 to 538 of the family's 1533-position model. The record is from RNAcentral.